GCCCGAGUGGCGGAAUUGGUAGACGCGUCGGUCUCAAAAACCGAUGAGGUUAAACUCGUGCCAGUUCGAUCCUGGCCUCGGGUA
This 84-nucleotide transfer RNA is filed under the name Bacteroidales bacterium. Its description in RNAcentral is "tRNA-Leu". It matches the Rfam family "tRNA". Rfam says of the family: Transfer RNA (tRNA) molecules are approximately 80 nucleotides in length. Their secondary structure includes four short double-helical elements and three loops (D, anti-codon, and T loops). Lineage: Bacteria; Pseudomonadati; Bacteroidota; Bacteroidia; Bacteroidales. RNAcentral also lists the same sequence under 1 other name. The record is from RNAcentral.